Molecule: non-coding RNA, 1739 nt
Organism: Manis javanica (Malayan pangolin)
Lineage: Eukaryota; Metazoa; Chordata; Mammalia; Pholidota; Manidae
Source: RefSeq, a predicted model, not a curated record
UAGGACACUCCUCACCUGGAUAUAGGUGAAGGUCCUUGAAGGAAAGGAGAAGGACUAGUAGAGCAGGCCAGAUGACCUUUACAAGGUGGUUGGGAUUUUGUUUGCCUUUAUUAAAAGUCCUGGCGUUUGUGAUUGGAACAGUAUCCUUUAGGUGAAGAAGAAAGGAAUUUGGGUGCAGUACAGACUUGGUUUUCUUCCUGUGUUCCAUCUGCCAGGAGUUCGGAAGCACUUUCUCAACUUUCAUCACUGAGAGGAUGAGUUCAGGACUCAGAACUAACUGAUCAUUUCUAGCUGGGGCCCUGUGGGGUGUUGUGUGCUAUAGUACCCUAAUCAGCUUUGCACAUAGAGACAUACAAGUUUUCAAUUUUAAUAUAACCAUGUAAAAGGUAAUUGUCCUCCUUUAAGAAUUAUGGAGGGCAAACUGGCCAUGUGAUCUGGGACAAGUCAGCCAACCUCUAAGCCGCAGAUACCCCUUCUGCCCAGAGGCAGAGAACUUCCAAGUUGCCUUCUGAGGCAGAUGCUCGGCAACCUGUAAUCUUGGAGGUGACUAUGAAAAGCUAUCCCUGUUCCAAUGACUAUUUUUGACUCAGCGAUUAGAGGAGCUUAUCAGGCUGCACCCGAAACUCUGACAUUUUGAUGGCUGGACAAUUUCCUAGGCUUCCCACUGGGCACUCCGAUUUAAGAUCCCUAGCCAAACACAUCAUCCCUCCCCUCUUCCCUCUUCUCAGCCUGAUUCCUCUGGCUGCUCUGUUUCUCUUCCUGGCACCGAGCUGGGCAGCUCAAUAGCAUUUUUGAAGUCUGCUGUAAUUCAUCCUCCAUGUUCAUUUGGCUCCUGAGACAUGAACCUUCUCGUUGUGAAGUGCCCGUUUUAUUUAUAGUCCCAUAACUUCUACCCAGUUCAGGGCCUCGUCACCUCCACAUGGGCCCUUGCUCCUACCCUGAACACCCUCAAUGGCCUUCCUCCUUUCCCUCCCUACCUGACCCGUGAGGGUUCGCUACCAGCUGCACUGCACUAACCCUCAGCUCUGGCCAGUCACUCCCUGCUACAGACCCUUGAAUGGUAUCAGGCUUCAGCAGAGCUCAGCGCCCCUUCCACACAGCCCAGAUGUUCUCACCUCUCCCCACAUCUUCACAUUUCAUCUGGAAUGUGCAGCUUCCAUACCUGCCUGUAAAAUCUAUCUCUUCAUCAAGGCCCAUUGCAAAUGUUACCUUUUCCUUGAAAUUUUCCAGGAGUCUCCAUUAUGGAUCAAUUUUUCAUUUAUUCAUUGAACAAAUAUUUAUUGUGCACCAGCUGUGUGCCAGGUGCUAUUCCAAGCACUGAGCAUUCAAUGGUGAGGUGAGUAAGACGGAUGAGUUUCUGCUUGCAGGGAGCAUACUCUUGAUGGAUAGCAGAAUAGGAACAAAUACAGAAGAAAAUUAUAGAUUCCAAUAAGUAUAACAGAGGAGCAUAGAUCCAUCGGCCUUCACUACAGUGGCUUAUAACCUGCCUAUUUAUGAUCAAAUACUCCCUUGUAAGUCCUCUGAGGGAAGAAUCUGAGUCUCCUUUACCUUUGUAACUUCCACCAUGCCCAACCUCAUCAUCUCCGUGUAGCAGUCCCCCAGUGUGUGUUUGUGAAAGGAAGUGUGGAAAGAAGUCUUGGAUUCAGAAAACAUUUAAGCAAGUACUCCUGGACAGCAAAGGAGCACCUAUUAAUGUCUUUACCUGUUAAAUUCACAAUUAAAAUAUAAGGAAAUUCUCA